UUGAUAUUGGACUUUGCUUCCAUAUAGAAUGAAUUUCUCAACAUUAACUCACUGCGGCUUUGAGUAGUUUAUAGUGAGUCAGCAAGAGUUUAAAUGGGAGAGUGUGAACCGAUGACAUGUUCCUGUUGAAAGGCAGCUCUGACACGGACCAGAUCUCUGCCUGCUUCAGCCCUGAAAUCUCUAUCUUUGCUUGUCGUGUAGCAAAGACUUUUUCUUGCCUGAAUGUUUUCCUCCCAACGGUGAAGUGAGCCUGGAGGCAUUGUCAUGCCAUCGCCUUUCAUCUACUGAAACUCACAUUUCAGCACAUAAAAUUAUCAUGCAUCUAGCAUCUCACCCAGACACUGAAAAAUGAUGAAUCCACAGAACCCUGACACUGGAAAGGAAGCGUAAGCAGCAGCCAGAACCUGAGAGGAGACAUCAUUAAGUGAAGAUCUCAUGGAGCUCAGCUGAAAAUCCCUGUCGGGAGCAGUCACAGCUUUGCCCCCUGGCAGGGAAGAUCUUACUGGUGACUGAGAGAAGCCUCUGCCUACUCCCUGGUUCAAGAAUUCAAGACGGUUGCCAGCUAGAGCACAGGACAGGUAUUCUCCUCCUCUGAAGGUUAAAAAUAAAAGGGUAAACAAUACAAUGGGGGGAAAAGGA
This 639-nucleotide long non-coding RNA is filed under the name Sus scrofa (pig). RNAcentral describes it as "lncRNA (ENSSSCG00070018105.1)". The record is from RNAcentral. Lineage: Eukaryota; Metazoa; Chordata; Mammalia; Artiodactyla; Suidae.